CUUUGGACGACAUUUACUGUCCAAGGCGGAAGGAG
This 35-nucleotide non-coding RNA is filed under the name unclassified sequences. The record is from RNAcentral.